RNAcentral lists this long non-coding RNA (524 nucleotides) under Mytilus galloprovincialis (Mediterranean mussel). Lineage: Eukaryota; Metazoa; Mollusca; Bivalvia; Mytilida; Mytilidae. The record is from RNAcentral.
UGCAUGUGUAAUAACAAAAGAACAUAGUAUAUUACCCUGGCUAUCAUAUAUUUUGAAUAACAAAAUUGGUUUCCGUUCUCUCACUUUAGUUGAUCUUAAAGCCAAACGUUAUGAAACUUAUACACAAACACACUACUUAUUACCACAAAACAAACACAGGGUCAAGUUUGAAUUUUGGUGGCGUCACUUAAACCGUUCUAGAGUUAUGUUCCUGUAUAACGUUAUAUGAUAACAGAGGCAUUAUCUGUGUCCCAAGGACACAUUUCUCCAUUUAAUUACUUUUUAUCCAAGAACCAGAGUUACCUUAUAUCUCUUUAUUCACAAACUGGACUUGUAUGAUUUAUACUGUAUAUGAUACUUUUAUGUAUGUUCUAAUGUAAAUUGUUUAAGGAAUGACUGUAAUAUUUUUUCUGUCCAAUAUGAAGAAAUAACAUAAAAAAUGUGGCGCACACUGAAGAAACCGCGUUGCGGGUUAUUUAAAGUAUGCACUACAUUUUUAUGUUAUUUCGAAUAGGCAGAAAAAA